UGGAGACACGUUUGUUGCAGUUGUAGCACCAAUAGUGAGACGUAUCGGUUUCCGAUACAGAGGCGGGUGUCGGGGACUGAGACGGGCUUUCAGCCAUAAGGUUUCGGUGUUGAUACGGCCGAGGAAAUGCCCGCUGAAGACUUGGGUGAUGAGAGGAAGGUGCGGAGAAAGUGAGAGGGGAGAGAGUCGAAUGAUACGCUU
RNAcentral lists this unclassified non-coding RNA (201 nucleotides) under Hevea brasiliensis (rubber tree). The record is from RNAcentral. Lineage: Eukaryota; Viridiplantae; Streptophyta; Magnoliopsida; Malpighiales; Euphorbiaceae.